ACCCAUGUGCUCUCUUGAGUAGACUGGUCUC
Molecule: non-coding RNA, 31 nt
Filed under: Mus musculus (house mouse)
Lineage: Eukaryota; Metazoa; Chordata; Mammalia; Rodentia; Muridae
Source: RNAcentral